CCUACGGGUGGCAGCAGUAGGGAAUCUUGCCCAAUGGGGGAAACCCUGACGCAGCAACGUAGCGCGGAUGCUGAAGGCUUUCGGAUUGUACACUACUUUUGUUAGAGAAGAUGAUGACGGUAUCUAACGAAUAAGCACAGGCUAACUCCGUGCCAGCAGCCGCGGUAAUACGGAGGGUGCAAGCGUUCCUCGGAAUCACUGGGCGUAAAGAGCGCGUAGGCGGGAUAGCAAGUCAGAGGUGAAAUCCUAUGGCUUAACCAUAGAACUGCAUUUGAUACUGUUAUUCUAGAGUAUGGGAGAGGUAGGUGGAAUUCUUGGUGUAGGGGUAAAAUGCGUAGAGAUCAAGAGGAAUACUCAUUGCGAAGGCGACCUGCUAGAACAUAACUGACGCUGAUGCGCGAAAGCGUGGGGAGCAAACAGGAUUAGAUACCCGUGUAGUC
RNAcentral lists this ribosomal RNA (440 nucleotides) under uncultured bacterium. Its description in RNAcentral is "partial 16S ribosomal RNA". It matches the Rfam family "Bacterial small subunit ribosomal RNA", at positions 338 to 795 of the family's 1533-position model. The record is from RNAcentral.